CGGGGUGUAGCUCAGUUUGGUUUUAGAGCGUUCGGUUCGGGACCGAAAGGUCGCAGGUUCAAAUCCUGUCACCCCGA
RNAcentral lists this transfer RNA (77 nucleotides) under Planctomycetota bacterium. RNAcentral describes it as "tRNA-Pro". It matches the Rfam family "tRNA". From Rfam's summary of the family: Transfer RNA (tRNA) molecules are approximately 80 nucleotides in length. Lineage: Bacteria; Pseudomonadati; Planctomycetota. The record is from RNAcentral.